Molecule: ribosomal RNA, 253 nt
Filed under: uncultured bacterium
Lineage: Bacteria
Description: partial 16S ribosomal RNA
Rfam family: Bacterial small subunit ribosomal RNA
Source: RNAcentral
UACGUAGGGCGCAAGCGUUGUCCGGAAUUAUUGGGCGUAAAGAGCUCGUAGGCGGCUUGUCACGUCGGGUGUGAAAGCCCGGGGCUUAACCCCGGGUCUGCAUCCGAUACGGGCAGGCUAGAGUGUGGUAGGGGAGAUCGGAAUUCCUGGUGUAGCGGUGAAAUGCGCAGAUAUCAGGAGGAACACCGGUGGCGAAGGCGGAUCUCUGGGCCUUACCUGACGCUGAGGCGCGAAAGCUAGGGGAGCAAACGGG